This 253-nucleotide ribosomal RNA is filed under the name uncultured bacterium. RNAcentral describes it as "partial 16S ribosomal RNA". It matches the Rfam family "Bacterial small subunit ribosomal RNA", at positions 524 to 776 of the family's 1533-position model. The record is from RNAcentral.
UACGGGGGGGGCAAGCGUUGUUCGGAAUUACUGGGCGUAAAGGGCUCGUAGGCGGUCUGUUACGUCGGGAGUGAAAACUCGGGGCUCAACCCCGAGCCUGCUUCCGAUACGGGCAGACUAGAGGUAUGCAGGGGAGAAUGGAAUUCCUGGUGUAGCGGUGAAAUGCGCAGAUAUCAGGAGGAACACCGGUGGCGAAGGCGGUUCUCUGGGCAUUACCUGACGCUGAGGAGCGAAAGUGUGGGGAGCGAACAGG